CGAAGGGUAUGAGUUGGACUGAUGAAAACUGAUAUUCAUGUUUAAGGGAAACUGAGACUGCUAAUGGAAAACGGAAGAAAAUGUAUAAACAGAUGUUAUUUUCAAUGGGAUUACACCCAGAUAAUAUCUUUCCAGUCCAUCUCCAGAGAUUUGAUUUGACUAACCUUUUUGGUGAUGAGGGCUUCUCCAUUUCGGCAGCACGCAUUCAACUUAAUUCAGAUGCC
This is a long non-coding RNA of Papaver somniferum (opium poppy), 224 nucleotides long. RefSeq lists it as uncharacterized. NCBI's taxonomy places the organism in Eukaryota, Viridiplantae, Streptophyta, Magnoliopsida, Ranunculales, Papaveraceae. The record is from RefSeq and is a predicted model, not a curated record. The transcript is spliced from 3 exons.